RNAcentral lists this ribosomal RNA (372 nucleotides) under uncultured organism. RNAcentral describes it as "bacterial SSU rRNA". It matches the Rfam family "Bacterial small subunit ribosomal RNA", at positions 526 to 896 of the family's 1533-position model. The record is from RNAcentral.
CGUAGGGUGCGAGCGUUAAUCGGAAUUACUGGGCGUAAAGCGUGCGCAGGCGGUUUGUUAAGAUAGGCGUGAAAUCCCCGGGCUCAACCUGGGAACUGCGCUUAUGACUGGCAAGCUAGAGUACGGCAGAGGGGGGUGGAAUUCCACGUGUAGCAGUGAAAUGCGUAGAGAUGUGGAGGAACACCAAUGGCGAAGGCAGCCCCCUGGGUCGAUACUGACGCUCAUGCACGAAAGCGUGGGUAGCAAACAGGACUAGAUACCCUGGUAGUCCACGCCCUAAACGAUGUCAACUAGGUGUUGGAUGGGUAAAACCAUUUAGUACCGGAGCUAACGCGUGAAGUUGACCGCCUGGGGAGUACGGCCGCAAGGUUA